This is a non-coding RNA of Plectosphaerella cucumerina, 83 nucleotides long. The record is from the annotation of a GenBank genome assembly. Lineage: Eukaryota; Fungi; Ascomycota; Sordariomycetes; Glomerellales; Plectosphaerellaceae.
GCCGAUGGCCCAGCGGUUAAGUCGACAGCCUCUGGGCCACUGGCGUAGUAGCCAAGGCGCGGGUUCAAUUCCCGCUGCGAGCA